RNAcentral lists this ribosomal RNA (404 nucleotides) under uncultured bacterium. Its description in RNAcentral is "partial 16S ribosomal RNA". It matches the Rfam family "Bacterial small subunit ribosomal RNA", at positions 28 to 526 of the family's 1533-position model. The record is from RNAcentral.
GAUGAACGCUGACAGAAUGCUUAACACAUGCAAGUCAACUGUGGCGGACGGGUGAGUAACGCGUAAAGAACUUGCCUCACAGUUAGGGACAACAUUUGGAAACGAAUGCUAAUACCUGAUACUGUGAGAGAGCUUUGCGUCCCAUUAGCUAGUUGGAGAGGUAACGGCUCACCAAGGCGCUGAUGGGUAGCCGGCCUGAGAGGGUGAUCGGCCACAAGGGGACUGAGACACGGCCCUUACUCCUACGGGAGGCAGCAGUGAGGAAUAGUGGACAAUGGACCAAAGUCUGAUCCAGUAAUUCUGUGUGCACGAUGAAGUUUUCGGAAUGUAAAGUGCUUUCAGUUGGGAAGCGGUACCAACAGAAGAAAUGACGGCUACAUCCGUGCCAGCAGCCGCGGUAAUUC